AUGACACUUAACAAACACCUUUCUUUCCACUUUGCAUGCUUUAGUUUUCGUCGUCAACGACCUCAACGUGAAGCAAGAUAUGUUCAUAGCUAUGGCAAUGGCGAGAAGCCUAAGACCGUCCAGGGACUCCGAGUGGCGCUGAAGCGGACCGACAUAACAGAGCUGCUGCAGGAAGUCGUUCUGCUGAACUUGGUGGUGCCGGAGCGGGGCUCCUGCACGCUCGCGACCAGAUCUGACAGUUUCUAUUUAUUUUACACAAAUGAUCUGUUCGAGUGUCAGGCCUUCCUCGGCAAGGAGCACUUGGUUCCAACAUCGACGUCACUUCCGUUCACCUCCGACUACAAUGAACAAGGUAUGGGGCUCCGCUCCAGCUGA
Molecule: ribosomal RNA, 375 nt
Filed under: Triticum aestivum (bread wheat)
Lineage: Eukaryota; Viridiplantae; Streptophyta; Magnoliopsida; Poales; Poaceae
Description: partial small subunit ribosomal RNA
Source: RNAcentral